UGCCCUUAACUCUGGGAUAAGCCUGGGAAACUGGGUCUAAUACCGGAUAUGACUCCUCAUCGCAUGGUGGGGGGUGGAAAGCUUUAUUGUGGUUUUGGAUGGACUCGCGGCCUAUCAGCUUGUUGGUGAGGUAAUGGCUCACCAAGGCGACGACGGGUAGCCGGCCUGAGAGGGUGACCGGCCACACUGGGACUGAGACACGGCCCAGACUCCUACGGGAGGCAGCAGUGGGGAAUAUUGCACAAUGGGCGAAAGCCUGAUGCAGCGACGCCGCGUGAGGGAUGACGGCCUUCGGGUUGUAAACCUCUUUCAGUAGGGAAGAAGCGAAAGUGACGGUACCUGCAGAAGAAGCGCCGGCUAACUACGUGCCAGCAGCCGCGGUAAUACGUAGGGCGCAAGCGUUAUCCGGAAUUAUUGGGCGUAAAGAGCUCGUAGGCGGUUUGUCGCGUCUGCCGUGAAAGUCCGGGGCUCAACUCCGGAUCUGCGGUGGGUACGGGCAGACUAGAGUGAUGUAGGGGAGACUGGAAUUCCUGGUGUAGCGGUGAAAUGCGCAGAUAUCAGGAGGAACACCGAUGGCGAAGGCAGGUCUCUGGGCAUUAACUGACGCUGAGGAGCGAAAGCAUGGGGAGCGAACAGGAUUAGAUACCCUGGUAGUCCAUGCCGUAAACGUUGGGCACUAGGUGUGGGGGACAUUCCACGUUUUCCGCGCCGUAGCUAACGCAUUAAGUGCCCCGCCUGGGGAGUACGGCCGCAAGGCUAAAACUCAAAGGAAUUGACGGGGGCCCGCACAAGCGGCGGAGCAUGCGGAUUAAUUCGAUGCAACGCGAAGAACCUUACCAAGGCUUGACAUGAACCGGAAAUACCUGGAAACAGGUGCCCCGCUUGCGGUCGGUUUACAGGUGGUGCAUGGUUGUCGUCAGCUCGUGUCGUGAGAUGUUGGGUUAAGUCCCGCAACGAGCGCAACCCUCGUUCUAUGUUGCCAGCGCGUUAUGGCGGGGACUCAUAGGAGACUGCCGGGGUCAACUCGGAGGAAGGUGGGGACGACGUCAAAUCAUCAUGCCCCUUAUGUCUUGGGCUUCACGCAUGCUACAAUGGCCGGUACAAAGGGUUGCGAUACUGUGAGGUGGAGCUAAUCCCAAAAAGCCGGUCUCAGUUCGGAUUGGGGUCUGCAACUCGACCCCAUGAAGUCGGAGUCGCUAGUAAUCGCAGAUCAGCAACGCUGCGGUGAAUACGUUCCCGGGCC
Molecule: ribosomal RNA, 1243 nt
Filed under: Arthrobacter ginsengisoli
Lineage: Bacteria; Bacillati; Actinomycetota; Actinomycetes; Micrococcales; Micrococcaceae
Description: bacterial SSU rRNA
Rfam family: Bacterial small subunit ribosomal RNA
Source: RNAcentral